GAUGAAGAACGUAGCGAAAUGCGAUAAGUAGUGUGAAUUGCAGAAUUCAGUGAAUCAUCGAAUCUUUGAACGCACAUUGCGCCCCUUGGUAUUCCAUGGGGCAUGCCUGUUCGAGCGUCAUUUGUACCUUCAAGCUCUGCUUGGUGUUGGGUGUUUGUCUCGCCUCUGCGUGUAGACUCGCCUCAAAACAAUUGGCAGCCGGCGUAUUGAUUUCGGAGCGCAGUACAUCUCGCGCUUUGCACUCAUAACGACGACGUCCAAAAGUACAUUUUUACACUCUUGACCUCAGAUCAGGUAGGGAUACCCGCUGAACUUAAGCAUAUCAAUAAGCGGAGGA
This 337-nucleotide unclassified non-coding RNA is filed under the name soil metagenome. RNAcentral's name for it is "partial contains 5.8S ribosomal RNA, internal transcribed spacer 2, and large subunit ribosomal RNA". The stretch from base 1 to 120 matches the Rfam family "5.8S ribosomal RNA", at positions 35 to 154 of the family's 154-position model. The record is from RNAcentral.